GGAAUAACCUUGCGAAAGUAAGACUAAUACCCAAUGACAUCCCACGAAGGCAUCCGAAUGGGAUUAAAGAUUUAUCGGUGAUGGAUGGGGAUGCGUCUGAUUAGCUUGUUGGCGGGGUAACGGCCCACCAAGGCAACGAUCAGUAGGGGUUCUGAGAGGAAGGUCCCCCACAUUGGAACUGAGACACGGUCCAAACUCCUACGGGAGGCAGCAGUGAGGAAUAUUGGUCAAUGGGCGAGAGCCUGAACCAGCCAAGUAGCGUGCAGGAUGACGGCCCUAUGGGUUGUAAACUGCUUUUAUAAGGGAAUAAAGUGGGUCACGUGUGACUUUCUGCAUGUACCUUAUGAAUAAGGACCGGCUAAUUCCGUGCCAGCAGCCGCGGUAAUACGGAAGGUCCGGGCGUUAUCCGGAUUUAUUGGGUUUAAAGGGAGCGUAGGCCGGAGAUUAAGCGUGUUGUGAAAUGUAGAGGCUCAACCUCUGCACUGCAGCGCGAACUGGUCUUCUUGAGUACGCACAACGUGGGCGGAAUUCGUGGUGUAGCGGUGAAAUGCUUAGAUAUCACGAAGAACUCCGAUUGCGAAGGCAGCUCACGGGAGCGCAACUGACGCUGAAGCUCGAAAGUGCGGGUAUCGAACAGGAUUAGAUACCCUGGUAGUCCGCACGGUAA
Molecule: ribosomal RNA, 667 nt
Filed under: uncultured bacterium
Lineage: Bacteria
Description: bacterial SSU rRNA
Rfam family: Bacterial small subunit ribosomal RNA
Source: RNAcentral